GAUGAACGCUGGCGGCGUGCCUAAUACAUGCAAGUCGAGCGAACGGACGAGAAGCUUGCUUCUCUGAUGUUAGCGGCGGACGGGUGAGUAACACGUGGAUAACCUACCUAUAAGACUGGGAUAACUUCGGGAAACCGGAGCUAAUACCGGAUAAUAUUUUGAACCGCAUGGUUCAAAAGUGAAAGACGGUCUUGCUGUCACUUAUAGAUGGAUCCGCGCUGCAUUAGCUAGUUGGUAAGGUAACGGCAUACCAAGGCAACGAUGCAUAGCCGACCUGAGAGGAUGAUCGGCCACACUGGAACUGAGACACGGUCCAGACUCCUACGGGAGGCAGCAGUAGGGAAUAUUCCGCAAUGGGCGAAAGCCUGACGCAGCAACGCCGCGUGAGUGAUGAAGGUCUUCGGAUCGUAAAACUCUGUUAUUAGGAAAGAACAGAAGUGUAAGUAUCCGUGGAUAUCUUGACGGUACCUAAUCAGUAAGCACCGGCUAACUACGUG
Molecule: ribosomal RNA, 497 nt
Filed under: uncultured bacterium
Lineage: Bacteria
Description: partial 16S ribosomal RNA
Rfam family: Bacterial small subunit ribosomal RNA
Source: RNAcentral